GACGAACGCUGGCGGCGUGCUUAACGCAUGCAAGUCGAACGGAAAGGCCCUGCUUUUGUGGGGUGCUCGAGUGGCGAACGGGUGAGUAACGCGUGAGUAACCUGCCCUUGACUUUGGGAUAACUUCAGGAAACUGGGGCUAAUACCGGAUAGGAGCUCCUGCUGCAUGGUGGGGGUUGGAAAGUUUCGGCGGUUGGGGAUGGACUCGCGGCUUAUCAGCUUGUUGGUGGGGUAGUGGCUUACCAAGGCUUUGACGGGUAGCCGGCCUGAGAGGGUGACCGGCCACAUUGGGACUGAGAUACGGCCCAGACUCCUACGGGAGGCAGCAGUGGGGAAUAUUGCACAAUGGGCGGAAGCCUGAUGCAGCAACGCCGCGUGCGGGAUGACGGCCUUCGGGUUGUAAACCGCUUUCGCCUGUGACGAAGCGUGAGUGACGGUAAUGGGUAAAGAAGCACCGGCUAACUACGUG
Molecule: ribosomal RNA, 468 nt
Filed under: uncultured bacterium
Lineage: Bacteria
Description: partial 16S ribosomal RNA
Rfam family: Bacterial small subunit ribosomal RNA
Source: RNAcentral